UACGAAGGGUGCUAGCGUUGUUCGGAUUUACUGGGCGUAAAGCGCACGUAGGCGGUUAUAUAAGUUAGCGGUGAAAUUCCAGGGCUUAACCUUGGCAUUGCCAUUAAUACUGUAUAGCUAGAGUGUAUGAGAGGAUGAUGGAAUAUCCAGUGUAGAGGUGAAAUUCGUAGAUAUUGGAUAGAACACCAGUGGCGAAGGCGAUCAUCUGGCAUACAACUGACGCUAAUGUGCGAAAGCGUGGGUAGCAAACAGG
This 253-nucleotide ribosomal RNA is filed under the name uncultured bacterium. Its description in RNAcentral is "partial 16S ribosomal RNA". It matches the Rfam family "Bacterial small subunit ribosomal RNA", at positions 524 to 776 of the family's 1533-position model. The record is from RNAcentral.